Molecule: transfer RNA, 74 nt
Filed under: Allobosea sp. BIWAKO-01
Lineage: Bacteria; Pseudomonadati; Pseudomonadota; Alphaproteobacteria; Hyphomicrobiales; Alloboseaceae
Description: Bosea sp. BIWAKO-01 tRNA-Arg
Rfam family: tRNA
About the family: Transfer RNA (tRNA) molecules are approximately 80 nucleotides in length. Their secondary structure includes four short double-helical elements and three loops (D, anti-codon, and T loops).
Source: RNAcentral
GGCCCCUUAGCUCAGCUGGAUAGAGCAUCGGAUUUCUAAUCCGGCGGUCGCAGGUUCGAACCCUGCAGGGGUCG